This 460-nucleotide ribosomal RNA is filed under the name uncultured bacterium. RNAcentral describes it as "partial 16S ribosomal RNA". It matches the Rfam family "Bacterial small subunit ribosomal RNA", at positions 338 to 795 of the family's 1533-position model. The record is from RNAcentral.
CCUACGGGUGGCAGCAGUGAGGAAUAUUGGUCAAUGGGCGCGCGCCUGAACCAGCCAAGUCGCGUGAAGGAUGACUGCCCUACGGGUUGUAAACUUCUUUUAUAAAGGAAUAAAGUGAGGCACGUGUGCCUUUUUGUAUGUACUUUAUGAAUAAGGAUCGGCUAAAUCCGUGCCAGCAGCCGCGGUAAUACGGAGGAUGCGAGCGUUAUCCGGAUUUAUUGGGUUUAAAGGGAGCGUAGGUGGGUUGUUAAGUUAGUUGUGAAAGUCUGGGGCUCAACCGUGGAAUUGCAGUUGAUACUGGCAGCCUUGAGUGCAGGUGAGGUAGGCGGAAUGCGUGGUGUAGCGGUGAAAUGCUUAGAUAUCACGAAGAACUCCGAUUGCGAAGGCAGCCUACUAAACUGCCACUGACGUUGAUGCUCGAAAGUGUGGGUAUCAAACAGGAUUAGAUACCCUUGUAGUC